Molecule: ribosomal RNA, 893 nt
Filed under: uncultured archaeon
Lineage: Archaea
Description: bacterial SSU rRNA
Rfam family: Archaeal small subunit ribosomal RNA
Source: RNAcentral
CUGACUGCUAUCGGAUUGAUACUAAGCCAUGCGAGUCAUUGUAGCAAUACAAGGCAGACGGCUCAGUAACGCGUAGUCAACCUAACCUAUGGACGGGAAUAACCUCGGGAAACUGAGAAUAAUGCCCGAUAGAACACUAUACCUGGAAUGGUUUGUGUUCCAAAUGAUUUAUCGCCGUAGGAUGGGACUGCGGCCUAUCAGUUUGUUGGUGAGGUAAUGGCCCACCAAGACUAUUACAGGUACGGGCUCUGAGAGGAGUAGCCCGGAGAUGGGUACUGAGACACGGACCCAGGCCCUAUGGGGCGCAGCAGGCGAGAAAACUUUGCAAUGUGCGAAAGCACGACAAGGUUAAUCCGAGUGAUUUGUGCUAAACGAAUCUUUUGUUAGUCCUAGAACCACUAACGAAUAAGGGGUGGGCAAGUUUUGGUGUCAGCCGCCGCGGUAAAACCAGCACCUCAAGUGGUCAGGAUGAUUAUUGGGCCUAAAGCAUCCGUAGCCGGCUCUGUAAGUUUUCGGUUAAAUCUGUACGCUUAACGUACAGGCUGCCGGGAAUACUGCAGAGCUAGGGAGUGGGAGAGGUAGACGGUACUCGGUAGGAAGGGGUAAAAUCCUUUGAUCUAUUGAUGACCACCUGUGGCGAAGGCGGUCUACCAGAACACGUCCGACGGUGAGGGAUGAAAGCUGGGGGAGCAAACCGGAUUAGAUACCCGGGUAGUCCCAGCUGUAAACUAUGCAAACUCAGUGAUGCAUUGACUUGUGGUCAAUGCAGUGCUGCAGGGAAGCCGUUAAGUUUGCCGCCUGGGAAGUACGUACGCAAGUAUGAAACUUAAAGGAAUUGGCGGGGGAGCACCACAAGGGGUGAAGCCUGCGGUUCAAUUGGAGUCAACGCCGGG